AUGGGAACGCGAAGAACCUUACCUACUCUUGACAUCCAGAGAACUUAGCAGAGAUGCUUUGGUGCCUUCGGGAACUCUGAGACAGGUGCUGCAUGGCUGUCGUCAGCUCGUGUUGUGAAAUGUUGGGUUAAGUCCCGCAACGAGCGCAACCCUUAUCCUUUGUUGCCAGCGGUCCGGCCGGGAACUCAAAGGAGACUGCCAGUGAUAAACUGGAGGAAGGUGGGGAUGAGUCAAGUCAUCAUGGCCCUUACGAGUAGGGCUACACACGUGCUACAAUGGCGCAUACAAAGAGAAGCGACCUCGCGAGAGCAAGCGGACCUCAUAAAGUGCGUCGUAGUCCGGAUUGGAGUCUGCAACUCGACUCCAUGAAGUCGGAAUCGCUAGUAAUCGUAGAUCAGAAUGCUACGGUGAAUACGUUCCCGGGUCUUGUACACACCG
This 438-nucleotide ribosomal RNA is filed under the name uncultured bacterium. Its description in RNAcentral is "bacterial SSU rRNA". It matches the Rfam family "Bacterial small subunit ribosomal RNA", at positions 954 to 1392 of the family's 1533-position model. The record is from RNAcentral.